This 104-nucleotide small nuclear RNA is filed under the name Sciurus vulgaris (Eurasian red squirrel). Lineage: Eukaryota; Metazoa; Chordata; Mammalia; Rodentia; Sciuridae. The record is from RNAcentral.
CUGCUUGCUUCGACAGCACAUACACUACAAUUGGAAUGAUACAGAGAUUAGCAUGGCCCCUGCACAAGGAUGACACACAAAUUUGUGAAGUAUUCCAUAUUUUU